GGUCCAUAGAAACGUAACAAUGAAACAGAAAGUUGUGGGGAGGGAGCCUCUUCAACACUUCAGCCUCAAAACCCCAUCAAAACAACAGUCCUGUGCAGAUGUGGCUGUUUGCUCCUACAGGAGGCAGUGAUGGUUCCACCCUUGAUGGCUUUAAAAGGAGGUUAGACACAUUCAUGGAGGAGGCUAUCAAUGUGAUGGCUAUGCUCUACCUCCAAAGUCAGAGGCAGCAAUGCUUCUGAAUGCCAGUUGCUGGAAACCACAGGAGGAGAGAGUACUGCUGCACUCAGGUCCUCCUUUGGGGAUUCUCACAUGCAUUUGGUUGGCCACUGUGAAAACAGAAUGCUGGACUAGAUGGGCCAUGGGCCUGAUCCAGCAGGCUUAUCUUAUGUUCUUAUACAAUUCUAAACAGUCAUGACUUUCCCCAAAAGAAUCCUGGCAAUUAUAGCUUGUAAAGUAAGGGUGUUGAGAGAUGUUAGGAAAGCCCUGUUCUGUAAAAAAGCAACAAAGUUAUGGAUAAAAAUAAAUGACUAAAUAAAUUUCUAGAGAUUUGUUUUUUUUAAAAAAAAGUCUGGAUCAGUCAGGGCCAGACGGGGCCUGGUUCAGGACAUUGUCACUGAAGCAAGUUUUGAGCGGAGAUAUUGUCGAGGAUAUCCAAAACCACAGUGCACCCUGGAACUCAAUCCCCACUGUGGCUCUGAUGGCGUGCCAUAUGGCAACAAGUGUGACUUCUGCAAUGUGUAUAUCCAAAGUGGAAGACGUCUUAGACUGAAGAACCUUGGAAACUGCAGAAAACUUGAAGACUAAAGAACAUCUACAAAAGAAAGUCCAUUUCUCAUCAUACCCUGUUCAUGCCAUCUCCA
Molecule: non-coding RNA, 860 nt
Organism: Zootoca vivipara (common lizard)
Lineage: Eukaryota; Metazoa; Chordata; Lepidosauria; Squamata; Lacertidae
Source: RefSeq, a predicted model, not a curated record